Chiloscyllium plagiosum (whitespotted bambooshark) is the source of this 4655-nucleotide non-coding RNA. The record is from RefSeq and is a predicted model, not a curated record. Lineage: Eukaryota; Metazoa; Chordata; Chondrichthyes; Orectolobiformes; Hemiscylliidae.
GGCCCAACUGCGCAUGCGUACUGUUUGAGCAUCAAUGGAGACGGGUCUCCUUGCUGUGUAUGCGUCGCUAUUGAUUGACGUUGAGUUGGAGCGAAUGAGACACGUCUGGAGGGCGCGAGGACGCACCUUCGCUCAUAUGUAGAAUCUGAUUAACGGCGAGCUGCGCGCGAGGGCGGGACAAGGGCGGCCACCGCCCAUAGUGCAUGCGUAGAGAUUGCCUGACGGGGAAGGGGAACAACUGCUGGGCGGAGAUCACGAUCUCUCCGCCUCCUGUCGGGAAGAGCUACGGAUCGAAGACUUGUACGCAUGCGUCGAGCCUCGGGUGGCAAGAAGAGAGGGCGGGCGCGGGGCGUGGUUUAGCCUCCACCCGCCCCCUAGGCCUGAUUCGAUUGGAGUGCGUGGGCAGCAAUCCGCGCUCGCUAUUGGGCAAAAUGGCUGUCAGGCAACUGAGAUGACUUGCCGUGCUGAAAGAGGCGGGCGAAAAAAAGUGAGAAAGAGAAAAAAAUCAGAGAUUUUCCACCGGCUUCGAGAGGAGAGGAAAGGGAAAAAGGGCAUUAAAUAGCCAACAUGAAUUUGGAAAAUCUCAGCAAGUCAGAAUUGCUGAUGUUCUUCAGUGUCCUUGAAGGAGAACUUGAAGCAAGAGAUGUGGUGAUUGAAGUAUUGCAAGCUCAGCACAGAGAUCGUUUCAUCCAAGAGCGCUAUGGAAAAUAUGACAUCAGUGACCCAUUCCUUGCUCUACAAAGGGAUUCUGAGUCAAUCAGGGGUGGAAACUGUGGAGACAAGCAGCCUGUGUGCACCAACCCACUAUCUGUGCUCAAAGUGGUAAUGACACAAUGCAAGAAGAUGCAGGAACGAAUGGUAUCCCAGUUGGCUGCUGCAGAGAGCAGACACCGAAAGGUUAUUGUGGAUCUAGAAGAAGAGAGAAGACGACACGCUCAGGACACAGCUGAAGGGGAUGAUGUGACCUACAUGCUGGAGAAGGAGCGUGAGCGACUCACUCAGCAGCUUGAAUUUGAGAAGUCACAGGUGAAGAAGGUAGAAAAGGAACAGAAGAAGCUGUCCACACAGCUGGAGGAGGAACGAACAAGACACAAACAGUUAACCACUGUUUUGAUGAAAGAAUGCAAAAAAGCAACCAACAAGGCAGCAGAGGAAGUUCAGAAAACUGCAGAAUUAAAACUGAAGCUAGAGAAAGAGAUGGCCAAAAGCAGUGAACGAGAGGAAGAGUUGGCCGCCGAGAAGCAGCGAGCCUUACAAAGGGAGGCCCAAAUGGAGAAACAGCUUUCCGAGUUUGACACUGAGAAGGAGCAACUGCGGGCAAGGCUAAACCGGGAAGAAAACAGGGCACGAGCCCUCAAUGAGGAAGUGCAAAGUUUAAAGCGAGUUAUUGAAGUGCUUAAAAAUAAAACAGAAAGCUCCAACAAAAUAGUAGCAAAUGAACCAAAAUCACCGGUAAACUUUCCAUUAGAGGCUGGUGCUAAGAAAAGCAAGACUAUAUCCCCUUCUUGCCAGACUGAUUGUAGUCAUGUGAAAGUGCCUAAUGGAAGUGAUUUAAAAGAAAAACACUGCACAUCAUUGCCAGCUGCAGUUGUUCCGCAAGUAAAUGGACAUUGCUCAGCAUUUAUGGUUAAUGAUGGGGAUGACCAGUCAACUGACGGCAAUAGUGUAGAUAUUCUUUUCUCCGCCGAAAGUAAAGUACCUUCUCCAUCUCCAGGGAACAUAGUUGAAAAUGGAAGUGGUAAUGUGGCUUCUUGUGCUGUACCACAUUUCCCAGGUGGAACCUCACUUUCUCCAAGCAACACUGUGAACUCUUCAGCUGCUUCCUCAGUAUCAUCAUCCCCAUGUUCAUCACCUGUGUUGACAAAGCGACUCACUAGUUCAACAAGCCCCAGUUCCAGCUUCCAGUCAUCCUACCAGGCUGGGCUGAAUCAAAGGUUUCAUGCAGCUCGAUUUAAAUUCCAAGCUCAAGCAGAGCAAGAUCAACAGACUGGCGCCUUACAAAGUCCUCCUCCAAGGGAUCUGUCACCCACUACCUCAGAUAGUUCAGCCGCCAAACAGUUGGCUCGAAAUACUGUGACCCAAGUUCUUUCUAGGUUCACAAGCCAGCCAGGAACUCUGAAAACUGCAAACAAUUCCCCCUUUGGUACUGACUAUCGACAGCUGGGUAGUUCAGCAAAAACACCAACUGGUGAUGCCAAUCAUUCACCGACUUCCAGUAAAGUCUCAAGUCCACAAUGUCCAAUGACUCCUGGGAUAAAAUCACCAACGGUAUCUAGAGUGGACAGAGGAAAUCCUCCACCAAUUCCUCCUAAGAAGCCUGGCCUUGCACAAUCACCUGCAUCACCUCAUCCGCUGGGUAAAGCAGCUACAGAUAGUGGACCUUCUCAGAUUGGGCUUUCUGCUAAAAACGAAUCAAGUGUUUCCAAUUCUGUUCAACCUCAACGAUUCUUUAAUUGGCGUGAAACAGGGAUCCAUGAGGAAGCUUCAUCGAAAUGUUCCUUGGAACGAGGAACAACGAUGGGCUCUGAGGAAGGGACUGAGGGUGGAAUUCAUGUUGCACAAGUGGGAACACCAUCUAAUGAAUCAAAUCCUGCAGCAUUCAUGAAACUUUCAGCAGUCCCCAUGGAUGUUUGUGGUGCCACAGUGGACUUACCAAACAUCUGUGGCAUGAACAACAGUUUGAUUACACCAACCAGUAAAGAGAUUGAUAUACUUCUGCCAACUAGUAGUUAAACUGUCUAGAAAUGAAAUGGUAUCUGUCCCCAGACUGAGUGACAAAACAACAAGCCACAUUUUUGAUGGUCUACCCUGCAAUUAAAAGUACUGAAAUAUCUGUGUGCUAUCAGUUCUGUACAACACAGAGCGGAAGAGAGCAAACUAACAUUGGACUAAGAUGGGCAACAUCUUUGACAGAUUUGUUGACAUUGAUACCACCUCCUGUCUGAGUGAAAUUAUUAGGAUUGACUCCGACUCAGAAGAUCUAGAAAACCUCUGUAUCAGCCCUGAAGGGGCAGGACUUGGCCGAAGGUGCGCAAUCCCUUUAAUUGUUGAUGCAAAGAGGUUGCUGCGUCCAGAUAAAAAAUAUUUUAUGGCUUUGGGGGGUAUUGCCAAGCGCCCAAGGAUAGUGUCCAAUAAUGGUCCUAGGGUGGUAAUGCCUAUAAAUCGAGGGCUAAUUACUACUAGAAGACAGACCACUAAGACCAGUAAACAUCCUUUUGUCAUCACAACCAGAAACAACACCUCGCAUUUAUGUAGCAGCUUUGAGAAUGUAACGCAUCCCAAGGUGCUUGACAGGAGCGUUUUCACACAAAAUGUAGCCACUGCUGCUAAAACAUUUUGGAAAAAUUUCACUAAAAGCCUUGGCUCAAGCAUCAAUGCAAGUCCUUCAACCAUCACAGUACCCAACACGAGGACGUCUAUUACUGGAAAUGCUGUUACAAUGCCAAGAGUAACUCCUGUUCGGAACUCUCUACCUGCCACUCGAAACACACGGCUAAUUGCCACCAAGAGACCUGGUGCACCUACCACUAGAAGUCCUUGUGUGACUGCCAUGAAAAUUCCUAGAUCAAAAACCGCUGUAAGAACUUCAACAGCUAUGAGGAAGAAUCCCAGAAUGGUACCCAUUAGAAAAACAUCAGCGAUUCACACUGCAAUGCCAAGGAGCACUGCCAUUGGUAAUCCUUUGAUGACAAGCACAAGAGGCCCAAGAAGGAUGUCUUUGACUGUCACCAGUAGAAAUCCUAUCAUAGUCACCAACAGUAACCCCUCAGCAACUACAAUUAGAAGCCAAAAGAGAUUGGGCAUUGGAAAUAAAAAUAAUGUUGCUAUUAAAAUUCCUUGCAAUGCUACUGUUCAAAGUUCCAACAAGACCAUCACUGAAAAGUCCGACAGUUGUGCUUUUCGAAAUCCCAACAGGACCUUCCAACAACUCAACAGGAUCCCCAUCCAAAAUCCCAACAGGACCACCAUCCAAAAACCUAUCAGGAAUACCAGUCGAUAUCCCAACCAAACUGCCCCUCGUACACCCAACAGGAUUGCUGCUGAAGAAGUCAAAAUUCUCGCCAUUGAACAGGCCAAUAAGAGCAUGAUUCAAAAGACCAAAGAAUCGGUCAUGAGAAAACAUGACAAGGGGGUCAUUCCAAACCCAAACGUAAUCACGAUUAAAAAUGCUCAUGUUAUCAACAUUAGCUAAGACCUGUUAAGCUGGUGACAUAAAGUAUAAGAAAAUAUUCAAUUAGAAGAUUUAACACCAUAAUGAAAAGCUCAAUGACACACAUUCUAUAAGCAAUGUAUCUAUUUUCCUUUUAGCUAUUUUUAUCCAUGUGACUUAUCUAUUAAAUGGAAUAAAGUUUAAUGUGCCUGCUAUGGUUUCAGCUGUUGUUCUUCUCUUAGACCUUUCAGCAUGCUUCCUAGCAUCUAGUGCAUAGAAUUGAAAUUGGAAGCAUCUGCAGAGAUCAUGAACAAUGGGUCAUUCAUGCACCUCCACCCACCAUCCCCUCCCCCACCCCCAGAUUUCUUGGAACUAACCUUGGGAGACAAGGAGAAAGGGAUAAAAGAAAAGGUUGAUUCUAUAUGAACUUUAAAAUCAGUUUGUAGAAUGGGGUAGAAUUUGAAAUUUGGUCUGAUUAUAUUUCGUAUUCAGUUUACCAUAGUUA